RNAcentral lists this ribosomal RNA (335 nucleotides) under uncultured Anaerolineaceae bacterium. RNAcentral's name for it is "bacterial SSU rRNA". It matches the Rfam family "Bacterial small subunit ribosomal RNA", at positions 1035 to 1382 of the family's 1533-position model. The record is from RNAcentral. Lineage: Bacteria; Bacillati; Chloroflexota; Anaerolineae; Anaerolineales; Anaerolineaceae.
CAGGUGCUGCAUGGCUGUCGUCAGCUCGUGUCGUGAGAUGUUCGGUUAAGUCCGCUAACGAGCGCAACCCUCGCUGUGUGUUACAAGUGUCACACGGAACUGCCGGUCAUAAACCGGAGGAAGGUGGGGAUGACGUCAAGUCAGCAUGGCCUUUAUAUCCUGGGCUACACACACGCUACAAUGGGAAGGGACAAUAGGUUGCGAAGCCGCGAGGCGGAGCCAAUCCAGCAAAACUUCCCUCAGUUCAGAUUGCAGGCUGCAACCCGCCUGCAUGAAGUUGGAGUUGCUAGUAAACGCAGGUCAGCCAUACUGCGUUGAAUACGUUCCCGGGGCUU